UACGAAGGGGGCUAGCGUUGCUCGGAAUCACUGGGCGUAAAGGGCGCGUAGGCGGAUCUUUAAGUCGGGGGUGAAAGCCUGUGGCUCAACCACAGAAUUGCCUUCGAUACUGGGGAUCUCGAGACCGGAAGAGGUGAGUGGAACUGCGAGUGUAGAGGUGAAAUUCGUAGAUAUUCGCAAGAACACCAGUGGCGAAGGCGGCUCACUGGUCCGAUACUGACGCUGAGGCACGAAAGCGUGGGGAGCAAACAGG
RNAcentral lists this ribosomal RNA (253 nucleotides) under uncultured bacterium. Its description in RNAcentral is "partial 16S ribosomal RNA". It matches the Rfam family "Bacterial small subunit ribosomal RNA", at positions 524 to 776 of the family's 1533-position model. The record is from RNAcentral.